GAGUGGCGAACUGGUGAGUAACACGUGGGAAACCUGCCCAGAAGCGGGGGAUAACACCUGGAAACAGAUGCUAAUACCGCAUAACAACUUGGACCGCAUGGUCCGAGUUUGAAAGAUGGCUUCGGCUAUCACUUUUGGAUGGUCCCGCGGCGUAUUAGCUAGAUGGUGGGGUAACGGCUCACCAUGGCAAUGAUACGUAGCCGACCUGAGAGGGUAAUCGGCCACAUUGGGACUGAGACACGGCCCAAACUCCUACGGGAGGCAGCAGUAGGGAAUCUUCCACAAUGGACGAAAGUCUGAUGGAGCAACGCCGCGUGAGUGAAGAAGGGUUUCGGCUCGUAAAACUCUGUUGUUAAAGAAGAACAUAUCUGAGAGUAACUGUUCAGGUAUUGACGGUAUUUAACCAGAAAGCCACGGCUAACUACGUGCCAGCAGCCGCGGUAAUACGUAGGUGGCAAGCGUUGUCCGGAUUUAUUGGGCGUAAAGCGAGCGCAGGCGGUUUUUUAAGUCUGAUGUGAAAGCCUUCGGCUCAACCGAAGAAGUGCAUCGGAAACUGGGAAACUUGAGUGCAGAAGAGGACAGUGGAACUCCAUGUGUAGCGGUGAAAUGCGUAGAUAUAUGGAAGAACACCAGUGGCGAAGGCGGCUGUCUGGUCUGUAACUGACGCUGAGGCUCGAAAGUAUGGGUAGCAAACAGGAUUAGAUACCCUGGUAGUCCAUACCGUAAACGAUGAAUGCUAAGUGUUGGAGGGUUUCCGCCCUUCAGUGCUGCAGCUAACGCAUUAAGCAUUCCGCCUGGGGAGUACGGCCGCAAGGCUGAAACUCAAAGGAAUUGACGGGGGCCCGCACAAGCGGUGGAGCAUGUGGUUUAAUUCGAAGCUACGCGAAGAACCUUACCAGGUCUUGACAUACUAUGCAAAUCUAAGAGAUUAGACGUUCCCUUCGGGGACAUGGAUACAGGUGGUGCAUGGUUGUCGUCAGCUCGUGUCGUGAGAUGUUGGGUUAAGUCCCGCAACGAGCGCAACCCUUAUUAUCAGUUGCCAGCAUUAAGUUGGGCACUCUGGUGAGACUGCCGGUGACAAACCGGAGGAAGGUGGGGAUGACGUCAAAUCAUCAUGCCCCUUAUGACCUGGGCUACACACGUGCUACAAUGGAUGGUACAACGAGUUGCGAACUCGCGAGAGUAAGCUAAUCUCUUAAAGCCAUUCUCAGUUCGGAUUGUAGGCUGCAACUCGCCUACAUGAAGUCGGAAUCGCUAGUAAUCGCGGAUCAGCAUGCCGCGGUGAAUACGUUCCCGGGCCUUGUACACACCGCCCGUCACACCAUGAGAGUUUGUAACACCCAAAGUCGGUGGGGUAA
RNAcentral lists this ribosomal RNA (1358 nucleotides) under Lactiplantibacillus plantarum. RNAcentral's name for it is "Lactobacillus plantarum 16S ribosomal RNA". It matches the Rfam family "Bacterial small subunit ribosomal RNA", at positions 93 to 1438 of the family's 1533-position model. Lineage: Bacteria; Bacillati; Bacillota; Bacilli; Lactobacillales; Lactobacillaceae. The record is from RNAcentral.